RNAcentral lists this long non-coding RNA (1004 nucleotides) under Fukomys damarensis (Damara mole-rat). RNAcentral describes it as "lncRNA (ENSFDAG00000031508.1)". Lineage: Eukaryota; Metazoa; Chordata; Mammalia; Rodentia; Bathyergidae. The record is from RNAcentral.
AAAAGCCUAGAAGUAGUGCCUAUAGCGAGAGUAACCAUAAUUACCUUUGAUAGAGGAUGGAAAAAAAGCUCAGAAAAUACUACUGACGGCUGGCAAUAGUCUGUUUCUGUCUGUGACGAUGCGGCAGCGACCUGUCGCUGAUCCCUCCAAGCCCUCAAACACGGUAGUGACACCAAAGGAUCCCGACCACAGCCCGGCGAGUCUGGGGCAGUCAGGCACCUGUCGGACACCUCCGCCACCUCCGCCAAGAACUCCAGGGGUCUGCGCUACUUCGUGUCCACGGACCUCCCUCAUCUUCCGCCGAGACAAAGGUCACGAGUGUACUGUUCAGUGAGAUUUCACCAACUGAGUCCACUGCGGCAUGAAGCCCCUAUGUCUAAAACUGAGAACACAGUCAACGUCACAGAUGCCUUGCUGCACAGUUCCAUCACAAGAGGGACCUCUGUAGAAGACAGAGCUAUGUACAUCACUUUCACCUCCUCUGUACUAAAUGUAACCAAACAUCCCAAACUCUUGAAAUCUUUUAAAUUCCAUGUUCUUGUGGAUUUAUCUGUAUUUUUCAUUUUGUCUAUGAUAUAGUUCCAUUGCAUUAAUAUCAAUUGAUCUGGAAAUUCUUUUCUUGAUGUGCAUGAGGGUGGUUGUCUUACUUUCUCAUUGCUGGGAGAUAAUAUCUAACACAUAAUAUCUAAUCAAAGGAAGAAAGGUUUCUUUUAGCUCACAGUUUGUAGAGGUUUCAUUCGGUCCAUAGUGGGCUGGUUCCAAUGCUGGGCAGGGUGGCAGAGGAGAAAUAACAGUUCAUGGCAUGGCAGGGAGGAGGCAGCAUGAGUCUUCCUUUCCCCUUUAUUCUAUCCAGGGUAUAAGCCUAUUGAUUGGUGCCAACAUCCAGUGUGGACCUUCCCGUUAUCCACUCAAAACUAUGCUAACUCAAUCAGUGAACUAAUUUAGUUAUCACACACCUUUAAUCCAUGUUCACACAGCCUAGAUCCAACCACUUCUGAAAAGCC